RNAcentral lists this transfer RNA (73 nucleotides) under Bos taurus (domestic cattle). It matches the Rfam family "tRNA". From Rfam's summary of the family: Transfer RNA (tRNA) molecules are approximately 80 nucleotides in length. RNAcentral also lists the same sequence under 4 other names. The record is from Rfam by way of RNAcentral. Lineage: Eukaryota; Metazoa; Chordata; Mammalia; Artiodactyla; Bovidae.
UCCCUGGUGGCCUAGUGGCUAAGACACUGUGCUCCCAAUGCAAGGGGCCCGGGUUCGAUCCCUGGUUGGGGAA